GAUGAACGCUAGCGGCAGGCCUAACACAUGCAAGUCGAGGGAGGAGCUUUCGGGCUUCGACCGGCGUACGGGUGCGUAACGCGUAUACAAUCUGCCUUUCACAUAGGGAUAGCCCGAAGAAAUUUGGAUUAAUACCUAAUAGUAUAUAGAUGUGGCAUCACAUUUAUAUUAAAGCUGAGGCGGUGAAAGAUGAGUAUGCGUUCUAUUAGCUAGUUGGAGAGGUAACGGCUCCCCAAGGCGACGAUAGAUAGGGGUUCUGAGAGGGAUAUCCCCCACACUGGUACUGAGAUACGGACCAGACUCCUACGGGAGGCAGCAGUGAGGAAUAUUGGACAAUGGUCGGAAGACUGAUCCAGCCAUGCCGCGUGCAGGAAGACGGCCUUAUGGGUUGUAAACUGCUUUUGCAGGGGAAGAAUAAGGAGUACGUGUACUUUGAUGACGGUACUCUGCGAAUAAGCAUCGGCUAACUCCGUGCCAGCAGCCGCGGUAAUACGGAGGAUGCGAGCGUUAUCCGGAAUCAUUGGGUUUAAAGGGUCCGUAGGCGGGCUAAUAAGUCAGAGGUGAAAGCGCUCAGCUCAACUGAGCAACUGCCUUUGAAACUGUUAGUCUUGAAUGGUUGUGAAGUAGUUGGAAUGUGUAGUGUAGCGGUGAAAUGCUUAGAUAUUACACAGAACACCGAUAGCGAAGGCAUAUUACUAACAAUUAAUUGACGCUGAUGGACGAAAGCGUGGGGAGCGAACAGG
RNAcentral lists this ribosomal RNA (743 nucleotides) under uncultured Capnocytophaga sp. RNAcentral's name for it is "bacterial SSU rRNA". It matches the Rfam family "Bacterial small subunit ribosomal RNA", at positions 28 to 776 of the family's 1533-position model. The record is from RNAcentral. Lineage: Bacteria; Pseudomonadati; Bacteroidota; Flavobacteriia; Flavobacteriales; Flavobacteriaceae.